UCCGAACUGAGUCUUCUGUUUUGUUUACUGCCCUCCUUUCCCCUUGGCCAUUUCUCAAUGAUUUUUUUCCCAGCAUCAACACCAGUGCAAAAAUAAUAAAAUAAAUAAAAGAUAAUCAUAUGACUGUUAUGAUGACGCACUGCAUCUGGUUCUUGUUUAGAGAUUCAGGUACAGAAUAUGAAUGAUAUGUAUCCAUUAACAGAACAUCUUGGCUAUAUGUUUUAGUCUGAUUUUAUUGGUAUAUAAAAUGGAUUCCCUUAAUUGUGUUGGGAAACACAACUUUCUGUGCAUUUAGGACAAGCCUGAUGAAUUUGUGCACAGCUUUUUUUUUUCAUGGCAACAGCUGUUAGGAAUUGCUGAAAGCUUUCCAUUUUUGAGAUAUAUUCUUGCCAGGAAAAAAGCCUCUGCUGCUAAAGAUUUUUCCAUUCUCUUAAAGAGUUUUGUCCUUUAGGAUUUUGGCUGUUCCUUGGAUGUUCAGCCAGCUACCCAGAGACAUACCAGAUAGGAUGUCUGGAUGCUCCUUGCAGGGGUGCCAGCGUCCUGUAGCCAGGAGGUUAGCCCUCAGCGAUCUGUUUUACUGUGAAUAAAACACUCCAUAAACCUUUCAAUACAUGUAAUUAUGGGUGUUGUUUUUCCUAAUGAGGUGAGUUUGUUCCCUUUUCUGUCAAAUGAAGAAAACACAGUAUAAAACAGACAUUUAUGCAAAAUGUACAUAACAUAAACCAACCUUUUAUCUUUAGAGCUAAUUUUCUUAAGAUUAAUGAGUGUUAUUAUGAAGUGCAGAUAUUACAGCUUUGAGAAAGAUUUGAGUUUAUGUUCUGUAAAUAAUAUAUUCAUAAAAUACCAAAAUGUUCAGAAAGGAA
Molecule: long non-coding RNA, 863 nt
Filed under: Lepisosteus oculatus (spotted gar)
Lineage: Eukaryota; Metazoa; Chordata; Actinopteri; Semionotiformes; Lepisosteidae
Description: lncRNA (ENSLOCG00000021382.1)
Source: RNAcentral